RNAcentral lists this ribosomal RNA (468 nucleotides) under uncultured bacterium. RNAcentral describes it as "partial 16S ribosomal RNA". It matches the Rfam family "Bacterial small subunit ribosomal RNA", at positions 28 to 507 of the family's 1533-position model. The record is from RNAcentral.
GACGAACGCUGGCGGCGUGCUUAACACAUGCAAGUCGAACGGAAAGGCCCUGCCUUUGUGGGGUGCUCGAGUGGCGAACGGGUGAGUAACACGUGAGUAACCCGCCCCUGACUUUGGGAUAACUUCAGGAAACUGGGGCUAUUACCGGAUAGUAGCUCCUGCUGCAUGGUGGGGGUUGGAUAGUUUCGGCGGUUGGGGAUGGACUCGCGGCUUAUCGGCUUGUUGGUGGGGGAGGGGCUUACCAGGGCCCUGACGGGCAGCCGGCCUGAGUGGGUGACCGGCAACAUGGGGACUGGGAUACGGCCCAGACUCCUACGGGGGGCGGCGGUGGGGAGUAUUGCACAAUGGGCGGAGGCCGGAUGCAGCAACGCGGCGGGCGGGAUGACGGCCUUCGGGUUGUAAACCGCUUUCGCAUGUGACGAGGCGUGAGUGACGGUAAUGGGUGAAGAAGCACCGGCUAACUACGUG